RNAcentral lists this unclassified non-coding RNA (345 nucleotides) under soil metagenome. RNAcentral describes it as "partial contains 5.8S ribosomal RNA, internal transcribed spacer 2, and large subunit ribosomal RNA". The stretch from base 1 to 120 matches the Rfam family "5.8S ribosomal RNA", at positions 35 to 154 of the family's 154-position model. The record is from RNAcentral.
GAUGAAGAACGUAGCAAAAUGCGAUAAGUAAUGUGAAUUGCAGAAUUCAGUGAAUCAUCGAAUCUUUGAACGCACAUUGCGCCCGCCAGUAUUCUGGCGGGCAUGCCUGUUCGAGCGUCAUUUCAACCCUCAAGCCCUCGGGUUUGGUGUUGGGGAUCGGCGAGCCUUUCUGGCAAGCCGGCCCCGAAAUCUAGUGGCGGUCUCGCUGCAGCCUCCAUUGCGUAGUAGUAAAACCCUCGCAACUGGAACGCGGCGCGGCCAAGCCGUUAAACCCCCAACUUCUGAAUGUUGACCUCGGAUCAGGUAGGAAUACCCGCUGAACUUAAGCAUAUCAUAAGCGGAGGA